UCCAAGAUUGGGUUAGAGGUUUGGUGACUUGCCGUGUGGUUCCUGUUUCUGAGGCCUCCCUCAUGUUGCAGAUGGCAGUACUGCAAGACAAGAGGAACCUGCGACCUGAAGGCCCUUGACUGCUUGGAUCAGGAAUAAGCCCUCAACUCCACUGGCUCUCAUCAAACCACGCCGCGAGCAAGGAAUAAACUUUUACUGCAUGAAGGGGAUGCGACAUCUAGGUCGACUUAGUACACCAUCACCCACCCUACUCUAACACACACAGAAAUGGGUUCUUUGAAAUGGAGUGAUGCUGUAUCAGACAGGCCUUAGUUCUACAGAAUCCAGCUGCUGUGAGGUCCCUGGUGAAGCUGGUGGAAGAGAACCUUCUGUAUGUACCUGGGGAGUGGGCUUAAAAGAAUCCUGUCAACAACCCGCACAUCAACAUGUUUUGGAUGAUGCUACCUGCUCAGCAGGCAUAGUGAAGUGGAGUGCCUUUAAGAUCACUUUUCACUGGGGGAUGGUUUUGUUGAUGACACAACAUUACUAAUCAAGCAAAUGGGAACCAAGGUACAAUAUUAUUUUGUUAGCUAAUUCCCAUAGUCCAGUCAGAUUUUUUUAGCCCCUUUCUUAUUCCAUUUGUCAAUUUCCUUUUGUGAUGCAUAGUUUUGAAAGUAAAUAAAAAUUACUUAUGUUAAAA
This 679-nucleotide long non-coding RNA is filed under the name Homo sapiens (human). RNAcentral's name for it is "HSALNT0388930". The record is from RNAcentral. Lineage: Eukaryota; Metazoa; Chordata; Mammalia; Primates; Hominidae.